Molecule: non-coding RNA, 69 nt
Organism: Podarcis lilfordi (Lilford's wall lizard)
Lineage: Eukaryota; Metazoa; Chordata; Lepidosauria; Squamata; Lacertidae
Source: the annotation of a GenBank genome assembly
GCUGUAGCUCAGUGAUUGAGCAUCUGCCUUGCACAGAGAAGGUCUCGGGUUCAAUCCCCAGCAUCUCCA